AGAACGAACGCUGGCGGCAUGCCUAAUACAUGCAAGUCGAACGAAGGCUUCGGCCUUAGUGGCGCACGGGUGCGUAACGCGUGGGAAUCUGCCCCUUGGUUCGGAAUAACAGUUGGAAACGACUGCUAAUACCGGAUGAUGACGAAAGUCCAAAGAUUUAUCGCCAAGGGAUGAGCCCGCGUAGGAUUAGCUAGUUGGUGAGGUAAAGGCUCACCAAGGCGACGAUCCUUAGCUGGUCUGAGAGGAUGAUCAGCCACACUGGGACUGAGACACGGCCCAGACUCCUACGGGAGGCAGCAGUAGGGAAUAUUGGACAAUGGGCGAAAGCCUGAUCCAGACAAUGCCGCGUGAGUGAUGAAGGCCUUAGGGUUGUAAAGCUCUUUACCCGAGAUGAUAAUGACAGUAUCGGAGAA
RNAcentral lists this ribosomal RNA (413 nucleotides) under uncultured soil bacterium. RNAcentral describes it as "bacterial SSU rRNA". It matches the Rfam family "Bacterial small subunit ribosomal RNA", at positions 26 to 485 of the family's 1533-position model. The record is from RNAcentral.